This 77-nucleotide small RNA is filed under the name Xanthomonas vesicatoria. RNAcentral's name for it is "sX9". It matches the Rfam family "Xanthomonas sRNA sX9". The record is from RNAcentral. Lineage: Bacteria; Pseudomonadati; Pseudomonadota; Gammaproteobacteria; Lysobacterales; Lysobacteraceae. RNAcentral also lists the same sequence under 1 other name.
AUGUACCGCGCGUGCACUCCGGUUCCGAGCGCACUGUCCACACCUAGCGGACGACUGCUCGCCACGUGUUGUGAGCC